Non-coding RNA from Lolium perenne, 2771 nucleotides. The record is from RefSeq and is a predicted model, not a curated record. NCBI's taxonomy places the organism in Eukaryota, Viridiplantae, Streptophyta, Magnoliopsida, Poales, Poaceae.
UCCCUCACCUCAAUCGAACAUAAUCUAAACCUAGGGUUCCUCGUCCCCGCUACAGAACCGCCGCAGGCCCGUAGGUUGAUCUCCCGUGGCGCCGCCUCCCUCCUCCUCAGGUUGCAUCGUCAUCCUGCCCGCGCGGCCUUCACCGCCGCCCCCGCCGUCUGCAUCACGCCCUUCGUGCAUCGCCCCCGCCUUUGAAGAGAGGAGCACCUACGGCCAAAUCGUCCGUCCCCAACCACAACCUAAAUCGUGUGCCGCCCUUCCGGCGAGAUUCUUCCUCGUCCGGCCGUCCUCGCACCCACCCUGCCGGCCGGCCGCCACAAUCGGCCAGGCUCGCGGCCUCGACCUGCACGGGAUCUCAUCCGAGCGUCGCCCGACAUGGCUACUCCGGACAAUAAUCCUCACGCUCCCGUUGGCCAGGCCUACCGCCUCAUGGCGGGUCCUCAGGCAAUCCUAUCUCACCCGCCCACCCAGCUAAUGCGUUGGAGCUUGCGCAUUGCUGCUUCAAAAAUGUUGGUAGUUCGCUAUUGACAUUAGGCCAGCGCUCGAGGGGCCACUACCACCAAGGACAUCUUCACGCUCGCUCCCCAAACGCUCAAAGAGCUGUUCUAUGUGAUGGAGCUUAAUCCCACGGUGAUGUGCAAUCAUUUUGAUCAUGCAUUUUUAAUUGAAAUAGAUAUAUCUUAUUUUCCAUGGUCCUUUCUCGUGACUCAGUCUGUUAGUUGUUUCAUGUAUAUACAAUCUUCAGAUGCAGGGUGCUUGUUCUUGCAUCAUAAUGUGGUUCUUGAUUUGUUACGUGAAUAUGAAAACGACUUGAGAGUAAUUCUAAUUAGUAUGGUACGUGUAGAAUCACAGGCUGUUGCUGACAUUGACAUUGAAACUGAAUUUGUUCUUCUGCUACUGGAGUUUGUACCUAAUCAACAUUGGAGGUGAUGUUCUUUCUUCCCAGUUUCGUAUAGAGUUUUUAUUUUGCUAGCCUUCAUUUUAUGUAGUAUGUUAACACGUACAAGUAGUUUCUGAACUAUUGUUCGAUAUAUGUUUAAUUGGUUAGCUCAAAAGGUAGGGUACAUGUAAUAACUAAUGCAACAUACCUAAUGGAGCUUUAUGUUUUUAAUAUUUCCCAUAACAGCAUGAAAAUGAAAAAUAUAGGAGUUUUUGUUGCAAGGAUUAUAGACUUUUGUAUUCUACUAUAUUGGCUACUAAGAUGAUUUCCUUCAAGACGAUUCAUACAAAGAAAAUGGAAGUUUCAAAUAUAUUAUGGUUAUAAAACCAGCCUAUAUAUUACUUCCGCACUGACGCCACACUGACGCCGGUAGAGCAGCUCAUGCAUAUGUAAUCAUAGCUACAAAAUUACAGCAGCGAAUAUGUAGCUCAGUUUUGCGAAGUGCUACUUUGUAAGGAUGCAUUUGGAAAGAGGCCUGAUAAGAUAAGAUAAAUUGGGAAAGUGUUUAGUGAAGAGAGAAUCAGGGUCAUGUCAUGUGGAUCUGAAGAGCUAAACUGUAAUAGCAAGUGCUAGACUUUAAGCCCGCAUCUGCAAAUUAUCUAGCAUUUCACAUUAGUCGUAUGGCAAUUAAAUCUAAAAAUAUCAUUCUUCCUGAAAUAUUAUUGCUCACUCAAAAAAUUAUAUUCAAUAACCAGAUCUAAUAUAGUUGUAGUUUGUUUUGACAUUUGAUGCAACAAAUAUCAUAUUGAUUCCUUAGAUCUCCACCCCAAGGUUUGGGCUCAUAGAUUGUUCUUUACUACUAUUAAUAUGUGAUACUGAAAAUGAAUACCAUUGGUUGUUUGUUGUUGACGUCAAGGCCUUUAAUAUGAACAGAGGUACAUAUAUCUAGGUUUCUAAAGAACCAAAUACAUUGUUAUUGUUAAUAGCCUUUGCUAUAUGUUUUUCAUCGCAGAGUCUUGUAGCUCUAUUUCAAAGAGCUAUGGAUGUACCCGUUCUGGUGUUGAACCUGAUAUUGAUGUGUGAUCAACGGGAAGAUGAGGGUGCAGCUGAAUCACGUGUGGCUCCGACAGAGCGCGGGAGUCGUAUCCACUGGGGCGCAAGCCGAGGGAACGAACCAGAGCGGCGCGCUUGACCUGGGUCUCUUCUCCUCCACAACGACAAGGUGGACCAGAUGAGCAGCCGGUCAUAAGUCGCAUGGUGGUGCUAGACUGGCCCUUGUGCUCCUUCUCAGCUGGGAACGGACAAAACGGUCUCCCCUGCUCUCCCACUGGUAUAUUGAUGCUAGCAAGCGCAACGAUUUGAUGAUAUGCAACGACACAUAUUGCUUGAUCGAUGCGAUCCUUUUUAUGAUCAUGGACGAUGAAAAACUUUAUGGUGGCGACUAGCGGAAAACUUGAAUGGCAACACAACCGGGAAGGAGAGCGUCUGCCAAGGCUGCUUCCAUAUAUGUAGCCAGACUUGCCGCUUCUUUAGAAUUUGUUCUCUCUUCCUGAUAGUUUAAUUAUCUGAUCAUAGGUGUGCAAUUUGUGCUCUUUCAGAAUUUCAGCUUCACGGUGUGUGGGCAUGCUCAAUUCUGCGGAGCACAUCACUACAACCUGGAGAGUUCCAAUCACGGUUUACAUUUCAUGCUCUUACAGUCACGCGGUUCAGUAGAUGCUUCUCCAAGUAGUAAGAAACAGGGAUCUCGCCAGGAUAAUACUGCAUCUGCAGUUCAGGGAUCCCAGUGGGUGUCACCGGGAUAAUACUGCAUCUCCCUGAAUUUAUGGAAGUUUCCUUUUCUUUUGCUUUUAAAUUAUAAAGUGCACUUCAUUGCGCAGGAUGGAACUGAGCA